AGCGCUCACUCAAGUUCGCAUUUGCAGCCGGAGUGUCCUACUGAAUCUGUUGUCAAAAUUUCGCUAACAAGCAAUAUAUAAUGUAACUCACUACACAAGGUUCCUAAAUAUACUGUUACUACAAUGGGGAAAAUGCUACAACGGGCGUACAAAAAUAGGAGCUGAUACUGCAGCUGGUUCCAAAGCCAGAAAUAAAGUGGGAAGAGAAGUGGAAUGAAGAUGGCCGGUGUUAUUAUACACUGAACUGUUCUGUCCAAUCAUACUACCCAGCGCUUUCCUGCAGUUGGAUGUACAGGUAUAAUAACUCUGAGUAUCAACACUAUGCAAAUGGAAGCACAAUCGAAACCUCAGCACGGAAUAACACACUGUAAUAUCUCUGCUUGGUACAAAAUCCUGCAAACAAGGAUAAUACCACUUUUGUUGUAUCAACCUGUCCUGGGAAAGAGAAUCAUGAUAUUAUAUAUACCGGUAUUGGAGGUUUUCCACUAAAAAGUACUGAUCAGAACGUGUGUAAUCAAAAUGGAACCAACAGCAAACCUUUGCUAUACCCAGAAACAACCUAUGUUGAUGUGAAGCGAUAGCUGACUCUCAAAUGGGAUGUCACUGACCCUGAAAACCAAAAAUGUAUUUCUCUCUGAGGCUACAGUUUUAUUGGCACUUAUUGUUCUAUUAAAGCCCACUCCUCUUCAUCUUCCUGCCUCUCAUUUAAACCAAGGCCUGGUUGCUAGGGUUAAUUAGACCAGGAAGCUGCAUUCUCUAAGCUGAAUGGGAGACCCCGUGGCUGGUUGGUUUUUGGUCUCGAAUUUUGGCUAAAGUGGUGGAGCGGUGGAUACAUCGACUGCCCUGAUUCAUUUGAAUAGCCCCAUACAGCAAGCGUGAACUGAAAUGGAGCUGGACUUUUGGGGAACAUUUAUCAUAACUGUACAAUAAACAGCACAAUUGACUCUUCAUGUAGCACAGAAAAGCCACAAGUUAAUAUAUAAACGCAAUACAAACUGCAUUAAUCUGUCAAAUGCUGCUUUAUCUAAUGGUCUGAGGUAUGUGUAUAGAUUUUAAAGGUCAAAUUAAACCAUGCCAGAGAAUACCAGCCACACCUAAAAGGAGGUAAUUACCCAAUAACAGCUUUUUAAUCAUUUUUUCAUGUUUAAUGAAUUGGCAUUUUGGUAUACUUAAUUGGUACAAAUUGGUGUAUGUAUAUUGUAUUGUAUUGUAUAUUGGUCUAUGUAUGUAUAUUCCUGUACUAUAAAAUGUAGGAUUGUAAUGCAUUUGGAAUGUGCAAUAAGAUUUAAAACAUUUUAUUAUAUUUAUUGGCGAUAUAAUUAAAUGUAUCCACAAUAUUAAGCAAUAAAGUCAGUAUUUGUUAGCGAAAAGUACUAUUUUGAACUAGUUAAGCAGGUAGAACCUAAUGUGUGAGACAGAAGUAAAUGAAAAGCCAUUCUCCAAAAAAGUAGUUGGUUAGAUCCAGAUCACUCUAAUUAACGGGUAUAAAAUUAUUAAUUAAUUGAAAUCCAAAAUUAAUAAAAAUUGGCUAGUGUCUAUGGAGGUACCUACU
Xenopus tropicalis (tropical clawed frog) is the source of this 1552-nucleotide long non-coding RNA. RefSeq lists it as uncharacterized. NCBI's taxonomy places the organism in Eukaryota, Metazoa, Chordata, Amphibia, Anura, Pipidae. The transcript has 5 exons. The record is from RefSeq and is a predicted model, not a curated record.